RNAcentral lists this long non-coding RNA (354 nucleotides) under Coturnix japonica (Japanese quail). RNAcentral's name for it is "lncRNA (ENSCJPG00005014412.1)". The record is from RNAcentral. Lineage: Eukaryota; Metazoa; Chordata; Aves; Galliformes; Phasianidae.
AUGGUGCCUCCAAAUGCCCCCAUGAAGUCUGUUUUCCAGCUUAUAGCAUCAGAUAUGGAGAAACUGAAGCAGCUCCAGGAACAGUUGAAUGGCAAAAGCGCUAAGAAAAUAUUAUUUUUCCUCCCUCCUGUUUUCUCUGGAUUGCUUGUACCUCUUCAUAUACACUGGGUUUCCUCCUUGGCAAAGAAAGUUACACAUUUUCCACAGUUUUCUGCUCUUCUGAUCUGGAACAUGUUGUUGUGUGCUGCUAAGAACACCCAGCUUUGGAGGUUCUGCAAAAGACAAGGUUUUGAUACUUGCCUGGGCUGCAUGGCAUCCCACCAGUGUGCCAGGCCUGAGCAUGCACACCAGUGA